Podarcis lilfordi (Lilford's wall lizard) is the source of this 114-nucleotide non-coding RNA. NCBI's taxonomy places the organism in Eukaryota, Metazoa, Chordata, Lepidosauria, Squamata, Lacertidae. The record is from the annotation of a GenBank genome assembly.
GUUGGUUAUGGAGAUGUUGUCCCAGUGACCACGGCAGGCAGGCUGACAGCUUCUGCAUGCAUCCUUGCUGGCAUCUUGGUAGUGGUCCUCCCUAUCACACUCAUUUUCAACAAG